This 1281-nucleotide ribosomal RNA is filed under the name Peruphasma schultei. RNAcentral describes it as "16S ribosomal RNA". The stretch from base 1041 to 1200 matches the Rfam family "Archaeal large subunit ribosomal RNA", at positions 2542 to 2701 of the family's 2987-position model. The record is from RNAcentral. Lineage: Eukaryota; Metazoa; Arthropoda; Insecta; Phasmatodea; Pseudophasmatidae.
UAUAAAUAUUUUAUUUUUUAUAUUGUUUAUUUUAUUUUUGAUGUGAGUUUAUAUUUUAUUUUUGUUUUUAGUAUUUAUUUGAAAUAAUUUUUUUAAUUAUAGUUUAGUUGUACUGUUAAGGUUUAUUUUAUUAUAUUUUAAGUAGAAUGUUUUUUGUACCUUUUGUAUCAGGGUUGAUUAAAUAUUAUUAUAUAUUUUAUAUUUCUCGAAUUAAGUUGAUUUAAGUAUUUAUGUUGGUUAAGGUUGUAUACUUAUCAAUUAUAUUUUCUUAGAUGUGAUAUGCUAUUCGCGACUUAUUAUAUCUAGUUUUCUUAGAAUUGAAUUUAAUUCAGCUAAUUUUAUUUAAUUUUUAAAAGUUUUUUAUUUAUUUGUAUUUUUAGUAAAAAUUUGGGGGAUAAGCUCUUAAUUUUAUUUAUAAUUUUAAUAAAUUUGAUGUUGUGUAGGCUUUGAAAUUGUUAUCACUUAUUAGUAUUUUAUAAUUUAUUAUUUUUGUUAAUUUAUUUUUAAUAAUUUAAUUAUUUAUUUGAAUGAUUUAUUUAAUUAUUUAUUAUUUUUAAUAAUGAUUAAAUUAGUAUAAUUUUAUUUAUUUUGUAAAAGUUAUUUCUUAUGUUGAUAUAAGGAAUUAAGCAAAAUUAUUUAUUCGCUUGUUUAUCAAAAACAUCUUUUCUUGAAAAUUUAUUUGAGAUCUGGCCUGCCCAAUGAUUUAUUUAAUGGCCGCGGUAUUUUGACCGUGCAAAGGUAGCAUAAUCAUUAGUUUAUUAAUUGUGGACUUGUAUGAAUGGUUAGACGAAAUAUUGACUGUCUCAUAUUUAUUAGUUGAAUUUAAUUUUUUAGUUAAAAAGCUUAAAUUUUAUUGUAAGACGAGAAGACCCUAUAGAUCUUUAUUUUUAAUGGAUAUUUUUUGUUAGUUUAUUUAUAUAAAUUUUUAUUAAAUUUUUUGUUGGGGUGACAUGGAGAUAUAUUUAACUCUUUAUUUUAUAUACAAUUAUUUUUGAUUUAAUUGACCUUUUAUUAUUGUUUUAAGAUAUAGAUACCUUAGGGAUAACAGCGUAAUUUUUUUUAAAAGUUCUUAUUGACAAAAAAGAUUGCGACCUCGAUGUUGGAUUAAGAUUAAUUUAAGGUGUAGGUGCUUUAUAGAUUAGGUCUGUUCGACCUUUAAAUUCUUACAUGAUCUGAGUUCAAACCGGCGUGAGCCAGGUUGGUUUCUAUCUUCAAUUUAUUUAGUUAAUUUAGUACGAAAGGACCAUUUAAUUUAAAAAUUUUAUUUUAGAAAAUAAAAUU